RNAcentral lists this ribosomal RNA (210 nucleotides) under uncultured fungus. Its description in RNAcentral is "partial small subunit ribosomal RNA". It matches the Rfam family "Eukaryotic small subunit ribosomal RNA", at positions 1380 to 1591 of the family's 1831-position model. The record is from RNAcentral. Lineage: Eukaryota; Fungi.
CUAGGCUAGCUUUGGCUGGUCGGCUGGCUUCUUAGAAGGACUAAUUUGCUCAAGCAAAUGGAAGUGCGAAGCAAUAACAGGUCUGUGAUGCCCUUAGAUGUUCUGGGCCGCACGCGCGCUACACUGACAGAGCCAACGAGUUCUCCCUUAGCCGAAAGGUUUGGGUAAUCUUGUUAAACUCAGUCGUGCUGGGGAUAGAGCAUUGCAAUG